RNAcentral lists this ribosomal RNA (465 nucleotides) under uncultured bacterium. Its description in RNAcentral is "partial 16S ribosomal RNA". It matches the Rfam family "Bacterial small subunit ribosomal RNA", at positions 338 to 795 of the family's 1533-position model. The record is from RNAcentral.
CCUACGGGUGGCAGCAGUAGGGAAUCUUCCACAAUGGGCGAAAGCCUGCUGGAGCAACGCCGCGUUGGUGAAGAAGGUCUUCGGAUCGUAAAACCCUGUUGUUAGAGAAGAAAGUGCGUGAGAGUAACUGUUCACGUUUCGACGGUAUCUAACCAGAAAGCCACGGCUAACUACGUGCCAGCAGCCGCGGUAAUACGUAGGUGGCAAGCGUUAUCCGGAUUUAUUGGGCGUAAAGGGAACGCAGGGGGUCUUUUAAGUCUGAUGUGAAGGCCUUGGCCUUAACCGGAGUAGUGCAUUGGAAACUGGGAGACGUGAGUGCAGAAGAGGAGAGUGGAACUCCAUGUGUAGCGGUGAAAUGCGUAGAUAUAUGGAAGAACACCAGUGGCGAAAGCGGCUCUCUGGUCUGUAACUGACGCUGAGGUUCGAAAGCGUGGGUAGCAAACAGGAUUAGAUACCCCUGUAGUC